RNAcentral lists this ribosomal RNA (490 nucleotides) under uncultured bacterium. Its description in RNAcentral is "partial 16S ribosomal RNA". It matches the Rfam family "Bacterial small subunit ribosomal RNA", at positions 30 to 507 of the family's 1533-position model. The record is from RNAcentral.
AUUGAACGCUGGCGGCAGGCCUAACACAUGCAAGUCGAACGGUAACAGGAAGACGCUUGCUUCUUUGCUGACGAGUGGCGGACGGGUGAGUAAUGUCUGGGAAACUGCCUGAUGGAGGGGGAUAACUACUGGAAACGGUAGCUAAUACCGCAUAACGUCGCAAGACCAAAGAGGGGGACCUUCGGGCCUCUUGCCAUCGGAUGUGCCCAGAUGGGAUUAGCUAGUAGGUGGGGUAACGGCUCACCUAGGCGACGAUCCCUAGCUGGUCUGAGAGGAUGACCAGCCACACUGGAACUGAGACACGGUCCAGACUCCUACGGGAGGCAGCAGUGGGGAAUAUUGCACAAUGGGCGCAAGCCUGAUGCAGCCAUGUCGCGUGUAUGAAGAAGGCCUUCGGGUUGUAAAGUACUUUCAGCGGGGAGGAAGGGAGUAAAGUUAAUACCUUUGCUCAUUGACGUUACCCGCAGAAGAAGCACCGGCUAACUCCGUG